UGGCUUUAUAAAGAAGUACGUGC
RNAcentral lists this microRNA (23 nucleotides) under Petromyzon marinus (sea lamprey). RNAcentral describes it as "pma-miR-1d". Its record names the gene pma-miR-1d. Lineage: Eukaryota; Metazoa; Chordata; Hyperoartia; Petromyzontiformes; Petromyzontidae. The record is from miRBase by way of RNAcentral.